UUACAUAUAUUUUACCAUAAUAAAAAAUACAAAAUAAAAAUAUAUAGGUUUAAAAAAAGGUGACUUAGAGGAAGGGGGCUUUACUGCUUAAAAGAAUAGUAGUUGAUACAUUUGCAAAUUUCAAAUGGAGUACAACACUCAAUCGAUCACGAAAUUGAGGCCCAGAGAGAUUAAAUGACAUUUCCCAGUUCCCACACAGAGUCUGUGACAAAGCCAGGACAAGGCCCCAUUCCCUUAACUCCCAUCCAUGCUCUUUCCACAGUACUCACUUCCUGAGGAGGCGGGACUUGAAGAAUGGGAGGAAGUGAAUGGGGAGAGAAGAUUGGAGCGUGCAAUGAGGAGGUCCAAGAGAGCAAAGGUGUGAAGGGGGAAUGCAGGCGACUCUCCCCAAGCCAGCAUCCCUGACUCACUCAGACUGGCCUCCUGUAGCGCCUUGAAGAGAGCUAGAUUUAGAAGAAAUAUUACUUCAGCUCUCAGGAUGGCAAAAGAUCUAGCCAGGAGGCAGAGACUCUGGAAAAGUGCUAAUAAAUUGUUACUGCCUGCUAUUAAAAGGAUCGAUAAGAUGGUGAAACUGAGAAGUUAAAGGACUUGUCCAAAGGCACAUAGUUGGUCCCUCCAAAGAAGCAAUUGACUAAGAAGUCACUUCCUGAGCUGAAGGUCAGUGUGUUGGCCCUGGAAUGAACAUCGGUGCACCAGCGAUAAGAGCCAAGUGCUCUCUCCUGCCAUUUUCGGGUGAGGUUGGGGGGAGGCCUUGAGGCUCCAGC
This is a long non-coding RNA of Orcinus orca (killer whale), 764 nucleotides long. RefSeq lists it as uncharacterized. Lineage: Eukaryota; Metazoa; Chordata; Mammalia; Artiodactyla; Delphinidae. The record is from RefSeq and is a predicted model, not a curated record. The transcript is spliced from 4 exons.